Molecule: ribosomal RNA, 351 nt
Filed under: uncultured bacterium
Lineage: Bacteria
Description: partial 16S ribosomal RNA
Rfam family: Bacterial small subunit ribosomal RNA
Source: RNAcentral
CCUACGGGGUGCAGCAGUAGGGAAUAUUGCUCAAUGGGGGAAACCCUGAAGCAGCAACGCCGCGUGGAGGAUGAAGGUUUUAGGAUUGUAAACUCCUUUUGUGAGAGAAGAUAAUGACGGUAUCUCACGAAUAAGCACCGGCUAACUCCGUGCCAGCAGCCGCGGUAAUACGGAGGGUGCAAGCGUUACUCGGAAUCACUGGGCGUAAAGAGUGCGCAGGCGGGCUUGUAAGUCAGAUGUGAAAUCCUGUAGCUUAACUACAGAACUGCAUUUGAAACUAUGAGUCUAGAGGGUGGGAGGGGGAGGUGGAAUUCUGGGGGGAGGGGGAGAAGCGGUAGGUAAGAAGAGGAA